CAGCCGCCACGGUAAUACGGAGGGCGCGAGCGUUACCCGGAUUUACUGGGCGUAAAGGGCGUGUAGGCGGCCUGGGGCGUCCCAUGUGAAAGGCCACGGCUCAACCGUGGAGGAGCGUGGGAUACGCUCAGGCUAGAGGGUGGGAGAGGGUGGUGGAAUUCCCGGAGUAGCGGUGAAAUGCGCAGAUACCGGGAGGAACGCCGAUGGCGAAGGCAGCCACCUGGUCCACUUCUGACGCUGAGGCGCGAAAGCGUGGGGAGCAAACCGGAUUAGAUACCCCUGUAGUCCCUGUCUCUUAUAC
RNAcentral lists this ribosomal RNA (301 nucleotides) under uncultured bacterium. RNAcentral describes it as "partial 16S ribosomal RNA". It matches the Rfam family "Bacterial small subunit ribosomal RNA", at positions 509 to 807 of the family's 1533-position model. The record is from RNAcentral.